This 301-nucleotide ribosomal RNA is filed under the name uncultured bacterium. Its description in RNAcentral is "partial 16S ribosomal RNA". It matches the Rfam family "Bacterial small subunit ribosomal RNA", at positions 509 to 807 of the family's 1533-position model. The record is from RNAcentral.
CAGUCGCCGCGGUAAUACGUAGGUGGCAAGCGUUGUCCGGAAUUAUUGGGCGUAAAGGGCUCGCAGGCGGUUUCUUAAGUCUGAUGUGAAAGCCCCCGGCUCAACCGGGGAGGGUCAAUGGAAACUGGGAAACUUGAGUGCAGAAGAGGGGAGUGGAAUUCCACGUGUAGCGGUGAAAUGCGUAGAGAUGUGGAGGAACACCAGUGGCGAAGGCGACCCUCUGGUCUGUAACUGACGCUGAGGAGCGAAAGCGUGGGGAGCGAACAGGAUUAGAUACCCGCGUAGUCCCUGUCUCUUAUAC